This 142-nucleotide non-coding RNA is filed under the name Pan troglodytes (chimpanzee). Lineage: Eukaryota; Metazoa; Chordata; Mammalia; Primates; Hominidae. The record is from Rfam by way of RNAcentral.
GCCAGGUAUGGUGGCGUGUGCCUGUAGUCCUAGCUACUUAGGAGGCUGAGGCUGGAGGAUCUUUUGAGCCCAGGAGACUGAGACUGCAGUGAGCCGUGAUCAGGCCACUGCACUCUAGCCUGGGCAACAGAUCAAGACUCUU